Long non-coding RNA from Nothoprocta perdicaria, 1073 nucleotides. RefSeq lists it as uncharacterized. The transcript has 2 exons. NCBI's taxonomy places the organism in Eukaryota, Metazoa, Chordata, Aves, Tinamiformes, Tinamidae. The record is from RefSeq and is a predicted model, not a curated record.
GAACCGUGCUUCCCACCCAGGAGAUGCUCUGGGCUUUAAGGUCCCUCAGUGACUCUCUUCUGCACAACAAGCAGUGUAGAAGCAGCACUGACGACUCAGGAAAAGAGGGAGACACCUGCAAUGUUUCACAGGGACCCAAGUGGCACUGAAACCUGGUGCUCAACCCCAGAAGAACAUUACUGUGUCCUCAUGGCUCUUUUAUAUCCAAGAAGGAUGUGUUGAAGGAUGUGAAUAAAACACUGAUUCCUCCAAGCCUUCCCAAUCCCAACACAGGAGGUCUAUGUUGGUUGAAAGUUGGAAGUUAGCACACGUGGUUAGAUCCUGAGCACCUGCUUCCAGCAGUGUCACCAACUACUUCUGACCUCACAUCACCAUAAACAAGAGCAGAAACACAUUCAGAAAUCAACAAUGCCUUUGGAAACUCAGCUUUCAGCGACGGAUUCCCAGUUAUUUUACCUGCACCUGAAAUCCACUGGCAAUUAGAGUAGUUUAACUUACUAACACAAAAAAAAAAAMCUUUUUUUUUCCCUUUCCUCUGGACCAACACCACACGUGAAACCAUCUCCAAAAGGGUUAUUUCCAACAGUGAAGACCUCAAAAGUGGUUUCUGUUCUCUGCCUCCAGCAAGGAAUCUAACUAAUACCGCUCUGAUAACGCUCAAGUGCAGCAGUCAUUAAUCUGGGCAGAGYGAUUUUUCACAUAAAUUGCCUUCUCUCUCCUUAAAGUUUCAGGGUCGAAACGAAAAUAUAUCACUGAAACAAAUUGCUGCUGGGAAAAAUGAGCAGGCUGAAAUACGGAAAAGAACAAGCCGAGCUAAGGCAAGGCCUUUAAACAGGAACUGAGCCCAGAGACACUUACAAAGGAAAACCUGCAGCAGAAACAAGAGCAGUUAUUGCCCUGUCACCUGGUGCCUCUUCUUCACCGUUUCUAAACAGGGCAACCUACUGCUCUGCUUUCCAUAUAUAUCCUGGAAGCAACUUUUUCUCUGCACUCAAACACAAACCAACUUUACUACAUGAAAAUAUGCAUAAUUUAGGUCAUCCUCUGGCAGCCCUGCUGAGCCACCCGUUGCA